Molecule: RNA transcript, 1757 nt
Organism: Phoenix dactylifera (date palm)
Lineage: Eukaryota; Viridiplantae; Streptophyta; Magnoliopsida; Arecales; Arecaceae
Gene name: putative protein phosphatase 2C 59
Source: RefSeq, a predicted model, not a curated record
UUAUUUGCCUCUCGUUUGACAACCGCCACAAAACCAACCCCUGAAACCCGGUGGUUGCUUACCCCUUCUCACUCUCCCCCUCUCUUCUCCUCCUACGCAUUAAUUUCUCCCCUUUUUCCUCCUAACUUCUUCUUGUUGCGGAUUGUGUUUCUAGAUUUUCUUGCUCCGAAAAUAAAAUAUGUAAUGAUAUAGACCUGGAAGCAAUACCAGGGUCGUCUUCUUCGUCGUCGUGGUCGUAGUCGUGUGUCGUCCUUGGAUUUAGAUGCGGAGAUUCCUGGAAUUCUUAGGCUUUCUUCAUCGUUAAUCUGAUUAGAGUUCCAGAUUCCUCGUUUUCCCUGCAAUUUUUUUCUAUUUUGAGUAAGAAUUCGGGAAAGUUUGGGCAGAAAAGAACAUGGGCUACUUGAACUCUGUUCUUCCGAGUACCAGCGGAGCUCAGGCUGAUGGCUUUAUUGUUAGCGGUGGAGGCCUCAGUCACAACGGGAAGUUCAGCUAUGGAUAUGCAAGCUCUCCAGGGAAAAGAUCGUCAAUGGAGGACUUUUAUGAAACCAGAAUUGAUGGUGUUGAUGGAGAGACUGUUGGUUUAUUCGGAGUUUUUGAUGGUCAUGGUGGAGCUCGAGCAGCUGAGUAUGUUAAACAGCACCUCUUCAGCAAUUUGAUCAAUCACCCCAAGUUCAUUAGUGAUACAAAGUCAGCAAUAGCUGAUGCAUACAACCAUACAGACUCAGAGUUUUUGAAAUCUGAGAAAAAUCAGAAUCGUGAUGCUGGGUCAACUGCUUCAACUGCUAUUCUUGUUGGUGAUCGCUUGCUAGUUGCGAAUGUGGGUGACUCCAGGGCUGUUAUUUGUCGGGGAGGAAAUGCUAUAGCCGUUUCACGGGAUCACAAACCUGACCAGACAGAUGAACGACAACGAAUUGAGGAUGCUGGGGGAUUCGUGAUGUGGGCUGGAACAUGGCGGGUUGGUGGUGUUCUCGCUGUUUCACGUGCAUUUGGUGAUAGACUUUUAAAACAGUUUGUUGUUGCUGAUCCAGAAAUUCAGGAAGAGGUGGUUGAUGGUUCUCUAGAAUUCCUCAUCCUUGCAAGUGAUGGACUAUGGGAUGUUGUCUCAAAUGAGGAGGCUGUUGGGAUUAUUAAACCCAUUGAAGACCCGGAACAGGCAGCAAGGAUACUGAUGCAGGAAGCUUAUCAAAGAGGAAGUGCAGACAAUAUUACAUGCGUUGUAGUGCGAUUCCUAGCCAGCCAGAUUAACAAUACGCAGGAAGGAAAGCAAUAGAAAGGUCACUAUUGGCUUUCGUCUGUAGAUCCCUAAUGCCUGCAACUAAUGUGAGGUUGGAGUGGAGUUGCAUCACUGCUCAAACAACCUGCAGAGAAUCUAGUCUUAAGGUAAAUGCUAUGUCAGAAAGUGGGUGAAGUUCAAGGUGAACUCCUGUUAAUGGGUGAAGUUCCAGUUAAAGGGCACGGUACCCUAAUUUUUCCGACAGAUUGUUCGUCCUUUCUCAUGCUGUCAAAACCAGAAUAGAUGUUGGACCAAAUUAAGUCCAUUUUGAUCCGGCGGGGUUUAACUGGCAUGGCUAUGAUAUUGGUUGGGUGAUAUAUACCUAAUGAGUAUAUUGUCCAUGUAAAUCCAAAAGACUUUCAUGACAGAAAAAUUCUUAACUAACUCAGAAAGUGGUGUGUAUUGUCAUUGCUUCCUUUUGAAUUGGCAUCAUAAAGUGUGCUAUUAAAUGCAGCAAAGUGAUUGGUGCAAGGCACCUGAGUGA